RNAcentral lists this ribosomal RNA (396 nucleotides) under uncultured bacterium. Its description in RNAcentral is "bacterial SSU rRNA". It matches the Rfam family "Bacterial small subunit ribosomal RNA", at positions 359 to 772 of the family's 1533-position model. The record is from RNAcentral.
GAAUUUUGCGCAAUGGGCUAACGCCUGACGCAGCAACGCCGCGUGGAGGAUGAAGGCCUUAGGGUUGUAAAGCUCUUUUACCAGGGAUGAUAAUGACAGUACCUGGAGAAUAAGCUCCGGCUAACUCCGUGUCAGCAGCCGCGGUAAUACGGAGGGAGCUAGCGUUGUUCGGAAUUACUGGGCGUAAAGCGCGCGUAGGCGGCUUAUCAAGGCAGAGGUGAAAGCCCGGGGCUCAACCCCGGAACUGCCUUUGAAACUAGUAGGCUAGAAUCUUGGAGAGGUCAGUGGAAUUCCGAGUGUAGAGGUGAAAUUCGUAGAUAUUCGGAAGAACACCAGUGGCGAAGGCGACUGACUGGACAAGUAUUGACGCUGAGGUGCGAAAGCGUGGGGAGCAAA